GCCCCCGUAGCUCAGUGGAUAGAGCACCGGUUUCCGGAACCGGGUGUCGCAGGUUCGAUUCCUGCCGGGGGUG
This 73-nucleotide transfer RNA is filed under the name Acidobacteriota bacterium. Its description in RNAcentral is "Acidobacteria bacterium tRNA-Arg". It matches the Rfam family "tRNA". Rfam says of the family: Transfer RNA (tRNA) molecules are approximately 80 nucleotides in length. Lineage: Bacteria; Pseudomonadati; Acidobacteriota. RNAcentral also lists the same sequence under 3 other names. The record is from RNAcentral.